Molecule: ribosomal RNA, 207 nt
Filed under: uncultured delta proteobacterium
Lineage: Bacteria; Deltaproteobacteria
Description: partial 16S ribosomal RNA
Rfam family: Bacterial small subunit ribosomal RNA
Source: RNAcentral
CGUGUAGGCGGUUUUUUAAGUCUGAUGUGAAAGCCCUGGGCUCAACCUGGGAAGUGCAUUGGAUACUGGAAGACUUGAGUACGGGAGAGGGUAGUGGAAUUCCUAGUGUAGGAGUGAAAUCCGUAGAUAUUAGGAGGAACACCGGUGGCGAAGGCGGCUGCCUGGACCGAUACUGACGCUGAGACGCGAAAGCGUGGGGAGCAAACA